UUUUUGGGUCUUCCAUUCUCAUUAUCCACUUCCAUUUCAGAUGAUUCAUCAAGGUCAACAAUCAUUUCAUCUGCUUGAAUUGAUUUCAAUGCCCCCAAGGUUUGAGCUUUAGAUGCAUCAGGCAGGCGUUCCAUUAGCACAUUUGAGAAGUUUUUGUAUAAUGAGAGGAACAAUGCCUCAUUUUCAUCAAGGGCUCGAGCAAGCAGAGCCUCCUUGGCCUCCAAAGAAUCACGCACGGAUAUCUCCUCUUCUUUUGUUUUUUCAGCAUUUGAUUUUAUGGGCUUCAUCUUUGCAGGAUUUUCACCAAGCACAGGUUCACCAUCCACCAGAGUGAGCUUUGAUUCAGCAGCAUCUAACUCAGCUUUUGCCUUGGUUGCAGCCUCUUCUGCUGAUAAAACAUUCUUCUGUAGAGACAAGAUCUCUUUCCUUAAAUCAGAUAUUCGAUUGUAAGUCUUACUGACAGCAUUUCUUAGAACCUCCCAUGGGCGAUCAGAUGUAUGAAAUUGCUCAAUGUUUGCUGAGGAGAAGACCCAUCUGACAAUAGCUAAAUUAGAUAUAAGCCGAUAACCCAUCAUUCUAUCAAUCGUAAUAGCUGUCAUUUGGGCAUUGUUCUUCCAAUAGGAACUCACUUCAGCUAUCAGCAUGAUCUGCUUAUCUUGAUCGUGACAUAUUCGUGCAAUGACUUGGCCAUAUCUCUCUAAAACAGUAAUCAAAUGAGUGAAACUUUUAGACCCAAUGUCGAGAAGAGUUUGGACAACCAUUGUAAGCGUAACUUCCAAACCAUGAUGGGGAAGUACACUUUCUUCUACCCAUGAGAUUAUUUCUCGGGCAGUUUGCCUUCCUUUAACCUUGUUGCUGAGUUCUGCAGAAAGUGCAUGUUGUUCA
This 885-nucleotide unclassified non-coding RNA is filed under the name Hevea brasiliensis (rubber tree). The record is from RNAcentral. Lineage: Eukaryota; Viridiplantae; Streptophyta; Magnoliopsida; Malpighiales; Euphorbiaceae.